Triticum aestivum (bread wheat) is the source of this 115-nucleotide non-coding RNA. NCBI's taxonomy places the organism in Eukaryota, Viridiplantae, Streptophyta, Magnoliopsida, Poales, Poaceae. The record is from Rfam.
CAUGUACUCCCUCCGUUCGGAAUUACCUGUCGCAAAAAUGGAUGUAUCUAGACGUAUUUUAGUUCUAGAUACAUCCACUCUCGAGACAAGUAAUUCCGAACGGAGGGAGUACUUG